CUCCCGCCCACUGCACCCCCACUCAUCACGCUGCGUCCUUUGUCCUACGUCCAAAGCCCAUUUUUUUCAUACUUCUGGGUCUCUUUAAACACUGACUCCCCGGCCGAAACAAAAACAAAAACAAUGUCUCCUCAUCUCGUCCAGGGCCAGGCCUAUGCAUCCCUUCCUCUAUUUCGUAAACGUUCCGUGAGCUCCGUGAUGACGCCAGCCUCGUGGCUCGGGGUGACACUGCGUGGCACGGACUCCUUCCUAAGGACGUCCACUCACUCCUAGCGCAGAGUGCCUGGAAGCACUGUGUCCCGCUGGCCAGCCUCCUCAUCUUCCUCUCCCUCCCACACUCUCCAUCCAGGACCAGGACACACCCACUUGCUCCUUUCAGGGGCUCCUCUCUGAUUGGCGACAGCCCGCUGUGCCUUGCUUCUCACCCCACCUGCCAUCCAGGAAACCUUCUUCGGGACAUUUGAUGAGCGCUGCUUCUCCCAAGUCCUGUCAGAGCCCUAAAUCUUCUUCGGAAUGAGGAUGACAGUUCUAAUUUUACAAUUGCUUGUUGGUUUCUUUGCUUAAUGUAAGCUUCUUCCACAAUGUGGUAAGGGCAUGUAGAAGAAUCUUUGGGUCAGCUUCCAGAAACCCUCAGGUUCUGAUAAUGUCUGUACACCUUAACAUCAAAAAGCAUUUACGGCACAAAUAACAAAAACGUGAACAAUAGGACAAAGGAGAUGUCCAGGGGUCAAGACAGCAGCAAAGGCCUCAGUUACACCGGAGUGCAGAAGACAGGGAGCUGUGUGUGUCACCCGGCACCCCAAGGAGGACCCCACUCGACAGGAGGCCAGCGAUGACUUACACGGAAACAGUUGCUCCUGACAUUGGAAAAGUCAGACUGACACUGGCCGAGGCACACAAAGAAGGAGAGAGAGUUGGCCGUGCAGAUACCCAGGACAAGAGGAUUAUUCCCAGGCUCCAAGCGAGGCAGGAGCAUGCCCAGCCCCGGGAGGCCUGCGGUCGCACACAAACCAUCCUGCAACUCUCUUUGCGAAGCCAAAGCAGAGGUCAUCUGAGAACAGAGGAACGGAGGCCAGGUUGGAGGAAAGAUGAAAGUUCAUACCAGCGGCCAUGGCGGGCAGGAGAGAGCAUGCAGGGGAUCGACAGCAGGAUUUGUGACAGAAGAGAGCAGACAUGGGAGCUCACGCAUUGGCAACAGCCACACUGCCAGCCCACAGUCCAGUCCCCAGAGCUGUGCGGGCAGAGGUGACCCUAUCCAAAGGGGGAGCAGAGGCCCAGGAACUGGUGCGGGAGUUACUCCUCACCUCACCGAUGCCCUGGGGUGGUGGAAGCGGCAGGCACCUAAUACAAUAGGUGACCCCAGGUACAAGGAGACGAGCUUUCCACCACUCCCAGGGGCUCCCCUGCCCACUUCUGCCUCCUUAGCAGGUCAUACUUCAGUUACCUUAUAAAUUUCGUCACACUUGCUUACGUAGAAGAUUAGCUCGUUUUCUUUUUGAUCACCUUGACAGCUUUGCCCUAUGCCUAACCAAGAGUAGUAGGCACUAAGAAGUAUAUUUGUUGACUUAAAUUUUAUCAUGAAUUAAAUCAUGUGUCACUCAUGC
This is a long non-coding RNA of Fukomys damarensis (Damara mole-rat), 1604 nucleotides long. NCBI's taxonomy places the organism in Eukaryota, Metazoa, Chordata, Mammalia, Rodentia, Bathyergidae. The record is from Ensembl.